AAUAAGUACGGUUUUGCACCGUUCAUAUACAACGUUUGACCGUUUGUAUUAUUUAAAAUUUAUUUUAUGAUUAAUAUUUUUAUUUUUAUUUGAUGAAACAUGAAUAGUACUUAAUGUGUGACUAUUUUAAAAAAAAUCAUAUUUUUUUUAAUAAGACGAACAGUCAAACGUUGGACACGGAUACU
This 185-nucleotide microRNA precursor is filed under the name Oryza rufipogon (brownbeard rice). Its description in RNAcentral is "MIR812 microRNA precursor family". It matches the Rfam family "MIR812 microRNA precursor family". The record is from Rfam by way of RNAcentral. Lineage: Eukaryota; Viridiplantae; Streptophyta; Magnoliopsida; Poales; Poaceae.